GCGAACUAGAUUAGAAGCUUGCUUCUAUGACGUUAGCGGCGGACGGGUGAGUAACACGUGGGCAACCUGCCUGUAAGACUGGGAUAACUUCGGGAAACCGAAGCUAAUACCGGAUAGGAUCUUCUCCUUCAUGGGAGAUGAUUGAAAGAUGGUUUCGGCUAUCACUUACAGAUGGGCCCGCGGUGCAUUAGCUAGUUGGUGAGGUAACGGCUCACCAAGGCAACGAUGCAUAGCCGACCUGAGAGGGUGAUCGGCCACACUGGGACUGAGACACGGCCCAGACUCCUACGGGAGGCAGCAGUAGGGAAUCUUCCGCAAUGGACGAAAGUCUGACGGAGCAACGCCGCGUGAGUGAUGAAGGCUUUCGGGUCGUAAAACUCUGUUGUUAGGGAAGAACAAGUACGAGAGUAACUGCUCGUACCUUGACGGUACCUAACCAGAAAGCCACGGCUAACUACGUGCCAGCAGCCGCGGUAAUACGUAGGUGGCAAGCGUUAUCCGGAAUUAUUGGGCGUAAAGCGCGCGCAGGCGGUUUCUUAAGUCUGAUGUGAAAGCCCACGGCUCAACCGUGGAGGGUCAUUGGAAACUGGGGAACUUGAGUGCAGAAGAGAAAAGCGGAAUUCCACGUGUAGCGGUGAAAUGCGUAGAGAUGUGGAGGAACACCAGUGGCGAAGGCGGCUUUUUGGUCUGUA
This 692-nucleotide ribosomal RNA is filed under the name Bacillus sp. (in: firmicutes). RNAcentral's name for it is "bacterial SSU rRNA". It matches the Rfam family "Bacterial small subunit ribosomal RNA", at positions 62 to 738 of the family's 1533-position model. Lineage: Bacteria; Bacillati; Bacillota; Bacilli; Caryophanales; Bacillaceae. The record is from RNAcentral.